This 2964-nucleotide long non-coding RNA is filed under the name Papio anubis (olive baboon). RNAcentral describes it as "lncRNA (ENSPANG00000048317.1)". The record is from RNAcentral. Lineage: Eukaryota; Metazoa; Chordata; Mammalia; Primates; Cercopithecidae.
AUGAUUUGUGUAAGAGCAGCAGGACAGGCUAUGUACAAAGGUAAGACAAUUCAUCUAACAAAGAGGCCGUGGAGAGAGUUAUCAAGGAAGACAGCCUUCAAUAAUUACUUUACCAUCACUCUUUUCCAGAAAGGGGUGGAAUUAUCAGGAUGGAAUCAAGGAUGCUUCCAAACAGAGGGAAUAUCUCAAGCUAUGACUCAGAGAGUUUUCCCCACAUCGUUAAUGGUAUGGGAAUUAGGAGCAGGUCAUGUGACUCACAUGGCUCACCAUAUAAUUCCUUCUGGAGAGCAGAUGAGAUGACAGAAGAAAACAGCAAGACAGAAUACAAUCAAAGACUACAACAAGAUUUCAAGCUUGAAUGAUUGGACGCAGAAUACCAGGAGAAAAAAACAAGAUUUGGAAAAAAAAAGAAAGAAAAGAUUAUCUUUUGGAUACAUGGAAUUUGAUCUCUAAUGGGUGAUUCAGUUAGAAACUAGAAUAUAACCAGAGCUCCAAAUAUCUAGCACAGGACAAGAGAUAGAAACAAGGAGCCAUAGUCAUCUUGAUGAUGAUAGUAGAAAGCAUAUUACUGGAUUAAAUCCUUAGCAUGAAAGCAUAGCAGAAGAGAAAGGGGUGGUGAGAAACUUAACCUAUUGUAAUUGUAUGUCAGGAAAGAGACUGAAGUAAUUAAAAGAAGUUUUGAAAUACUUCAAUAGAAAAAUAAAUAGUUCCCUCAGAACUACAGAUCCUCAAUACCAGACUGCCUUUUGUCAAAAAAAAAAUCAAUUGUUUAAACAUGCUGAAAAUAAUUUGAAGUACUGAUGCAAAAUAUCAUUGACUAGAAUUACAUUUUAUUUAUUGCAGUGAUUCAAUUAAGAUGCUAUAAAUUCAGAAUAUUGCUAAUAGGAUUUGUAAAUUAUUAGGCUAUUCAACCACUCUGGUCAAAGAGGCUUAGGGGAGGAAAGAGAUUUAUAAUUUCAUGGUUCAAUGACAUAAUGAGCACAAUUAACUUAAUUAGUUAUUAUUAAAAUAACACUUUAUGCUGGAAACAGUAGUGAUCCUUUGGGGGCAUGGGACUUUUCAAUUUUACCUAAAAUGUUUUCAUAAAUUAAAUAUUUCACAAUCUUUAAGUUAAGAAUUAAUGCAAGCUUCUCUCUUAAGUGUGAUUGAACUUUAAAAAAUACUGCCUUUAGAAUAUUGUUCUAAAAAGACAUAAAACUAAAUCACAUAGAGAUGGCUGUAUAAAAAUGAAUGCAUUAAAAAAGUGUUUGAGACACAUUUCACUUAUCUCUGAAUACUAAGUAAAAGAGAAGUGAGGUGGUUUGACAUUCCUAUUUGACUUACAUAAAUGUCUUUUUAAAGAGGAAAAUGUGCCCUCCCUAGGAGACACAACCAAAUGCUAGGUGGAGCAGCUUGUCAUGGAAUAUAACUUGGUGAGGGCUGCAUGACUUACAACCUUCAAAUAUUUAAGCUAACAAUGAAUGGUGUAAAAUUCACAAGUGAAUGAAGUAAGAAACAGAAUAAAUAAUAGUUACGUUUCCAUUUUAACUUGAGAAUGUUUUGCUAUAUCCUUUUUGACAUAUAUAAAUUGAACCCAUGCUGUGUAUUUUGUAACUCCCAGAAAUACAAUUCAAGACUGAUACGAUCUAUUUAAGGCUGACAAACCUAUAUAAUUAGCUUAAAAUCAAGAAAGGUCUUGUGAUGCAAAUUAAGCUCCUUCAGUAUUGCCUUGGCGAGUCAUAGAACUGAUCUAAUUGUCUCUCUGCAUUUUGGGGAAUACUAAAUGAUCAAGGGCAUGUUUCAAGAGUGAUAGGCAAUGGUUUGUCUUUUCUGCUAAGGUCCUACAAUAACGUGAGAAUGUUCAUUACACAGAUAAGCAGCUAUAAACUUCCCUUUAUUAUAAUGAGAUUAAUUCAAUUUUAUUUUGAACCUUAAAGCCCUCAGAGACUCAGGAUUCAUGUGCCUGCAUGAACAUGGCCCAAUCUAUUGUCAAACCAGAAUACUAGAACCGAAAACAUCUCCAAUAUAGAAACGUACGGACUUCCCAACUUGUUCACUUGCUAUGGAAGCAAGAUAUAGUUCUGACGUUUGCAAAAAUAAAAGAAAACUGAAUGAUUCUUCUUAAAACUUGUUUUCCUCUUCUUUCCAUCUUUUAUUUAAAUCCUUUUCAUCCUUUAAUUCUAGUGACCACAUCAGAGGUAUUGUAAAUCCACCAUCCUUUACUGUGUAUAUUUCAUCAAAGAGACAUUGCAACAGAAUCUGCCGAUUUCACAGAUAAAAUGCAAAGGUCUUUCAGGCAAAAAUAUAAGGCUAAUUCAGUGAAAUUUAUGAAGUUUUUAUGUUUCUAACAUUAUAUAAAAUGUUACAUAAUGUAGGAUACAUGUUCCUAAAAUAAUACAUUACACAUUGCAUUUCUAUAGCAAGACACAUUAAUUGCCUGGAAGUUGAAGUACAAUUGUCCAAGAGACAUAACUUUUAUUGCUCAGAAAAAUAAACAAUUACAGGGAAGUUAUUUACUUAAGGCCAAGUUCAGGAAGAAUAUGGCAGGAAAUUGUCUAAAAGCAUAAGACUGUUUAAUAAUACUUUUAAUUUUAUUUGUGUCUUAAAUAUUUAAAUUGAAUUGCUCUAGUAUGACAUUGCUUUGAAUUUUAUUAAACAUAUGUAAAGUGCAGUGGUUUUCUUUGUUUCAAAAUUCAUAAUUUUUCAUCUGCUCUCCACUUAUGGUAGAAAAAAACUCCACAGUGAUUGCACUGCAGCUUUUCAAGAAAAAAAUGAAACAUACUAUUUCUUUAUAGUUUUAGUUUUCUGAAAAUGUCUUCUUUUAAGAUAUGCAGCUGAAAUCAUAAGGCCAUAUGAAUAUUUGGCAAUGAUCUCAUAAGUCUGCUUGAUAUGAUCACAAGAAGAUAAACUUGACUUCAAAGAAAAUUAUUUAGCAAAACUGUCUCUUUUUUAUAAGCAUGUUGGUAAUUGUCUCAUACACCCUCU